GGCCAUAAUGAAAUUAAGAGAGAUAUCAACGGAAUCCGACCUGUUUACCAGUUGCUCAAUGAUUUCAAGAUUUAUCGUUGUGGAAAUAUGAUCCAGCAAAAGCAGUUCUUGCCGAUUUUUUAUAAUCCGCUGUUUAGAACUUCUCAGCUAUUGCGUCGUUCAACCAGAGACUGCAAAGAGGUGAAGGAUCCAGAGGAAAUGAUGGCUGGUCUUCAUGAUAUUCGUAGCAGCAAUAAAUAAAGCUUCUGCCGGAUCUUGACUUUUAUUGAUAGGCAAAGUUCAAGGUACAUCCUAAAGGAAGUGAUAAAAUCAUAAAUAAAUAUAUUCACGUCUUAUAUACACAGACACAUACA
This is a long non-coding RNA of Macrobrachium nipponense, 353 nucleotides long. RefSeq lists it as uncharacterized. Lineage: Eukaryota; Metazoa; Arthropoda; Malacostraca; Decapoda; Palaemonidae. The transcript has 3 exons. The record is from RefSeq and is a predicted model, not a curated record.